RNAcentral lists this ribosomal RNA (427 nucleotides) under uncultured bacterium. RNAcentral's name for it is "bacterial SSU rRNA". It matches the Rfam family "Bacterial small subunit ribosomal RNA", at positions 34 to 507 of the family's 1533-position model. The record is from RNAcentral.
CGCUGGCGGCAUGCCUAACACAUGCAAGUCGAACGAGACCUUCGGGUCUAGUGGCGCACGGGUGCGUAACGCGUGGGAACCUGCCUUUAGGUUCGGAAUAACUCAGAGAAAUUUGAGCUAAUACCGGAUGAUGUCUUCGGACCAAAGAUUUAUCGCCUUUAGAUGGGCCCGCGUAAGAUUAGCUAGUUGGUGGGGUAAAGGCCUACCAAGGCGACGAUCUUUAGCUGGUCUGAGAGGAUGAUCAGCCACACUGGGACUGAGACACGGCCCAGACUCCUACGGGAGGCAGCAGUGGGGAAUAUUGGACAAUGGGCGAAAGCCUGAUCCAGCAAUGCCGCGUGAGUGAUGAAGGCCUUAGGGUUGUAAAGCUCUUUUACCCGAGAUGAUAAUGACAGUAUCGGGAGAAUAAGCUCCGGCUAACUCCGUG